UUGAGUUUCAUAAAUCAUCAUGCAGUUCACGUGGACGCUAACAUCAGAUAAACUGCCUGACAACCUAGCUGUAACAAAUCAUUGCUUGUUGCUAUGCUGCUCCUCAGAGCUCGGAGAGAAAGAUUCCAUGGCGCAAUAACAACUGGUUAUGUGUCCCAGGGGCAGCCGAAGCCGUGGCUUCAGCCUUUCAGUGCCUUUGCUCAUGUUGCCGCCUUCUUUUUAGAAGAGACCCCUCUAUCCAUCACCAAAUCCAGCUCAGCCGCCUUCUGUGGAGUCUCCGUGCCCCCCACCCCCAAUCCCCCACCCCUCAGCCGCUGCUCCUGCAGCAAAAGCGUCAUGAAUCAUCCACACCUCCCGUUGCCCUAACAGGCCUCUUCUCUUAUUGUUCUUCUAGCAUGAUUGGUUUUGUUCCUUAUUAGAUGGUGAAAAGCAAUGACCUAAAUGGAGGUGGAUGGAUGGAUGGCCUUCCCGCUCCUGUACCUCAGCGGUGUAAUAUAUCUACUCGCCCAAGAUUUGAAUUUCAAACGUGGACAACAAGAGGCCGAAUUUCUACACUAAAGAAGGUUGUUAAAAUUCACAGAGCAGAGAAGCUCUUUAAUAGACAAGAUUCAUGAUGGUCUUUUCACAAGGAAGCAGAAGAUUUAUUACAAGCAUGGGUUCUAAUGUAUGUUGUGCCUGAUGCCCUCCCUCCUGAGGACAGAGAGGAGGAGAGACACCAAGGGCAUUCAGCCGGGUGCUCCCUAUACGCACUUCCCAUGUCCUUUGUUCAUGGCUGCUUGAAGCCAGGGAAGGCCAGAAUCAAGUCAUGCUGACCAUCAGCAAUUUGUUUAUGCUCUCGGAAUCUUUGCUUUUUUAAUUUUUACACCUGCAGUUUGGAAGUAAUCAUGUGUUUCUUGUCUACCCUACAAGGUUUUGCUCAGAUUGAGGCAAGGGAAAGGGAGUUAUGACCUGGUGUUAAAAUCUACCCUAAGCCAAUCCAUUGACUACAGAGAGUUCUUUUAGAAACACUAACCUGAGUCUGUGGCUUAAGCUUUAAAACAGCCUUCUACUGCCCUUACAAAAGUCCACAAUCUUCAGCAUGGCUGCAGGUCCCAGGAUGCUCUGGCCCUACUUGUCUGCCAGCCUCAACCUUCCAUGUCCUUGGCACUCCAGCUGCACUUCUUUUCAGUUCCCUU
This is a long non-coding RNA of Bubalus bubalis (water buffalo), 1175 nucleotides long. RefSeq lists it as uncharacterized. The transcript is spliced from 2 exons. NCBI's taxonomy places the organism in Eukaryota, Metazoa, Chordata, Mammalia, Artiodactyla, Bovidae. The record is from RefSeq and is a predicted model, not a curated record.